RNAcentral lists this ribosomal RNA (866 nucleotides) under Sutcliffiella cohnii. RNAcentral describes it as "bacterial SSU rRNA". It matches the Rfam family "Bacterial small subunit ribosomal RNA", at positions 28 to 874 of the family's 1533-position model. The record is from RNAcentral. Lineage: Bacteria; Bacillati; Bacillota; Bacilli; Caryophanales; Bacillaceae.
GACGAACGCUGGCGGCGUGCCUAAUACAUGCAAGUCGAGCGGACUGAUUAAAAGCUUGCUUUUAUGAAGUCAGCGGCGGACGGGUGAGUAACACGUGGGCAACCUGCCUGUAAGACUGGGAUAACUUCGGGAAACCGGAGCUAAUACCGGAUAAUACAAGGAACCUCCUGGUUCCUUGUUGAAAGAUGGUUUCGGCUAUCACUUACAGAUGGGCCCGCGGCGCAUUAGCUAGUUGGUGAGGUAACGGCUCACCAAGGCGACGAUGCGUAGCCGACCUGAGAGGGUGAUCGGCCACACUGGGACUGAGACACGGCCCAGACUCCUACGGGAGGCAGCAGUAGGGAAUCUUCCACAAUGGACGAAAGUCUGAUGGAGCAACGCCGCGUGAGCGAUGAAGGCCUUCGGGUCGUAAAGCUCUGUUGUUAGGGAAGAACAAGUGCGAGAGUAACUGCUCGCACCUUGACGGUACCUAACCAGAAAGCCACGGCUAACUACGUGCCAGCAGCCGCGGUAAUACGUAGGUGGCAAGCGUUGUCCGGAAUUAUUGGGCGUAAAGCGCGCGCAGGCGGUUUCUUAAGUCUGAUGUGAAAGCCCACGGCUCAACCGUGGAGGGUCAUUGGAAACUGGGGAACUUGAGUGCAGAAGAGGAGAGUGGAAUUCCACGUGUAGCGGUGAAAUGCGUAGAGAUGUGGAGGAACACCAGUGGCGAAGGCGACUCUCUGGUCUGUAACUGACGCUGAGGCGCGAAAGCGUGGGGAGCAAACAGGAUUAGAUACCCUGGUAGUCCACGCCGUAAACGAUGAGUGCUAAGUGUUAGAGGGUUUCCGCCCUUUAGUGCUGCAGCUAACGCAUUAAGCACUCCGCCU